GUGUUUGCUUGGGCAGCAUACUUGCUAAAAUUGGAACGGAUACAGAGAUGAUUAGCAUGCCCCUGUGCAAGGGUGACAUGCAAAUUGUGUAGUCUUCCGUAUUUUU
This 106-nucleotide small nuclear RNA is filed under the name Peromyscus maniculatus bairdii (prairie deer mouse). Lineage: Eukaryota; Metazoa; Chordata; Mammalia; Rodentia; Cricetidae. The record is from RNAcentral.